RNAcentral lists this ribosomal RNA (1271 nucleotides) under Escherichia coli. RNAcentral's name for it is "partial 23S ribosomal RNA". It matches the Rfam family "Bacterial large subunit ribosomal RNA", at positions 55 to 1365 of the family's 2925-position model. The record is from RNAcentral. Lineage: Bacteria; Pseudomonadati; Pseudomonadota; Gammaproteobacteria; Enterobacterales; Enterobacteriaceae.
GACGUGCUAAUCUGCGAUAAGCGUCGGUAAGGUGAUAUGAACCGUUAUAACCGGCGAUUUCCGAAUGGGGAAACCCAGUGUGAUUCGUCACACUAUCAUUAACUGAAUCCAUAGGUUAAUGAGGCGAACCGGGGGAACUGAAACAUCUAAGUACCCCGAGGAAAAGAAAUCAACCGAGAUUCCCCCAGUAGCGGCGAGCGAACGGGGAGCAGCCCAGAGUCUGAAUCAGUGUGUGUGUUAGUGGAAGCGUCUGGAAAGGCGCGCGAUACAGGGUGACAGCCCCGUACACAAAAAUGCACAUGCUGUGAGCUCGAUGAGUAGGGCGGGACACGUGGUAUCCUGUCUGAAUAUGGGGGGACCAUCCUCCAAGGCUAAAUACUCCUGACUGACCGAUAGUGAACCAGUACCGUGAGGGAAAGGCGAAAAGAACCCCGGCGAGGGGAGUGAAAAAGAACCUGAAACCGUGUACGUACAAGCAGUGGGAGCCUCUUUUAUGGGGUGACUGCGUACCUUUUGUAUAAUGGGUCAGCGACUUAUAUUCUGUAGCAAGGUUAACCGAAUAGGGGAGCCGAAGGGAAACCGAGUCUUAACUGGGCGUUAAGUUGCAGGGUAUAGACCCGAAACCCGGUGAUCUAGCCAUGGGCAGGUUGAAGGUUGGGUAACACUAACUGGAGGACCGAACCGACUAAUGUUGAAAAAUUAGCGGAUGACUUGUGGCUGGGGGUGAAAGGCCAAUCAAACCGGGAGAUAGCUGGUUCUCCCCGAAAGCUAUUUAGGUAGCGCCUCGUGAAUUCAUCUCCGGGGGUAGAGCACUGUUUCGGCAAGGGGGUCAUCCCGACUUACCAACCCGAUGCAAACUGCGAAUACCGGAGAAUGUUAUCACGGGAGACACACGGCGGGUGCUAACGUCCGUCGUGAAGAGGGAAACAACCCAGACCGCCAGCUAAGGUCCCAAAGUCAUGGUUAAGUGGGAAACGAUGUGGGAAGGCCCAGACAGCCAGGAUGUUGGCUUAGAAGCAGCCAUCAUUUAAAGAAAGCGUAAUAGCUCACUGGUCGAGUCGGCCUGCGCGGAAGAUGUAACGGGGCUAAACCAUGCACCGAAGCUGCGGCAGCGACGCUUAUGCGUUGUUGGGUAGGGGAGCGUUCUGUAAGCCUGUGAAGGUGUGCUGUGAGGCAUGCUGGAGGUAUCAGAAGUGCGAAUGCUGACAUAAGUAACGAUAAAGCGGGUGAAAAGCCCGCUCGCCGGAAGACCAAGGGUUCCUGUCCAACGU